AGCCGUGGCCUACCGGUUAGGGCUUCGGACUUGUAACCGGAGGGUUGCCGGUUCGAACCCCGCUACAGCUA
This 71-nucleotide transfer RNA is filed under the name Alosa alosa (allis shad). RNAcentral describes it as "tRNA-OTHER". Lineage: Eukaryota; Metazoa; Chordata; Actinopteri; Clupeiformes; Clupeidae. The record is from RNAcentral.